This 428-nucleotide ribosomal RNA is filed under the name uncultured bacterium. RNAcentral's name for it is "bacterial SSU rRNA". It matches the Rfam family "Bacterial small subunit ribosomal RNA", at positions 355 to 776 of the family's 1533-position model. The record is from RNAcentral.
UAGGGAAUUUUCGUCAAUGGGGGGAACCCUGAACGAGCAAUGCCGCGUGAGUGAAGAAGGUCUUCGGAUCGUAAAGCUCUGUUGUAAGUGAAGAACGGUCAGUAGAGGAAAUGAUACUGAAGUGACGGUAGCUUACCAGAAAGCCACGGCUAACUACGUGCCAGCAGCCGCGGUAAUACGUAGGUGGCGAGCGUUAUCCGGAAUCAUUGGGCGUAAAGGGUGCGCAGGUGGUACAUUAAGUCCGAAGUAAAAGGCAGCAGCUCAACUGCUGUUGGCUUUGGAAACUGGUGAACUGGAGUGCAGGAGAGGGCGAUGGAAUUCCAUGUGUAGCGGUAAAAUGCGUAGAUAUAUGGAGGAACACCAGUGGCGAAGGCGGUCGCCUGGCCUGCAACUGACACUGAGGCACGAAAGCGUGGGGAGCAAAUAGG